AUUGAACGCUGGCGGCAGGCCUAACACAUGCAAGUCGAGCGAGCGGCGGACGGGUGAGUAAUGUAUGGGGACUGCCCGAUAGAGGGGGAUCACUACUGCAAACGGUGGCUAAUACCGCAUACUGUCGGAUAUCCCAUAUGGGAUUAGCUAGUAGGUAAGGUAAUGGCUUACCUAGGCGACGCUCCCUAGCUGGUCUGAGAGGAUAAUCAGCCACGCUGGGACUGAGACACGGCCCAGACUCCUACGGAGGCAGCAGUGUGGAAUAUUGCACAAUGGGCGCGAGCCUGAUGCAGCCAUGCCGCGUGUAUGAAGAAGGCCCUUGGGUUUUAAAGUACUUUCAGUCAAGAGGCGUUACCGACAGAAGGAGCACCGGCUGACUCCGUGCCAGCAGCCGCGGUAAUAC
This 403-nucleotide ribosomal RNA is filed under the name uncultured bacterium. RNAcentral's name for it is "partial 16S ribosomal RNA". It matches the Rfam family "Bacterial small subunit ribosomal RNA", at positions 30 to 526 of the family's 1533-position model. The record is from RNAcentral.